Molecule: long non-coding RNA, 778 nt
Filed under: Haliotis rufescens (red abalone)
Lineage: Eukaryota; Metazoa; Mollusca; Gastropoda; Lepetellida; Haliotidae
Description: uncharacterized LOC125376910
Source: RNAcentral
AUAAUAGUUCUGUUAAAAAAUUGUAAAGAUCACAUUAUUGCAGUUAUAUUUCUGUCCGAUUUACACAGCGUACACUAUCUAGCAUUGAUAAAGAAGACAGGUUCCCAAAAAGGUUCAUCAGGUUUUUUAAUCAAAGCUUGUUUUGACAAGAUCUCAUCACUGACAGACAGCCCCCGUCGUGCAUCGGCAGAUACAUGCAUUUCACAUUGAGAAGAGGAAACACGGAAAAACUGUCAAUUUUUUUAUGUGUCAUUUGACAAAAAUGCCAAAACCUAUAACAACAACAUAGACGGAAUGUACAGAAGUCUUGUUUGUUAGAGAAAAGUUACGAAAAGAAGCUAAACUUUGACAAGUACGAUUGCUGUCACAGUGUCGGAAUGAAUAACCCGACUUGACCCAGAUAUGAGACAGCCGAAACCAGGAAUGACAAGAGAACCGGUUACAGUUUAAUCCGGACAACAAGUUGAAUUAACAUCGUGUGUGAUUUGAGACAAGUGUCACUGAUGGGAAACAUGUGCAUGUUGGAUUUCAGGAGGAUUUGUCAAACGCGGAGUGGACACAGUCAGAUGACGGGAGUUUGUUGAUAUUUUGAUGUGAUUCAUAAUGGUCGAAUACCUGUUGAUAGACAAACACGGUAUCUGGAGACUUGGUGCUAAGCUGUCCGCAUUCACGGAGUUCAUUUAGUUCAAUAUCGGACACAGGAUCAGCUCGCUGGGUUAUCGAUGUCAUCAUCGUUCACAAAGGCAAACCUGUCUAUACAAAGUCCGGUUUUUGGAUU